AACGAACGCUGGCGGCGUGGAUAAGACAUGCAAGUCGAGCGCUGAUUAGAGGGUAGCAAUAUUCUUUAGUUGGAGCGGCGCAAGGGUGCGUAACACGUGGGUAAUCUGCCGUGAAGUUUGGGAUAACUUGCUGAAAGGCGAGCUAAUACCGGAUGUGACAAUUGGAAGGCAUCUUUGAUGUCAAAGUUGGGCCGCAAGGCCUGACGCUUCAUGANGAACCCGCGGCCUAUCAGCUAGUUGGUGAGGUAAAGG
RNAcentral lists this ribosomal RNA (252 nucleotides) under uncultured bacterium. Its description in RNAcentral is "partial 16S ribosomal RNA". It matches the Rfam family "Bacterial small subunit ribosomal RNA", at positions 29 to 263 of the family's 1533-position model. The record is from RNAcentral.